This 830-nucleotide ribosomal RNA is filed under the name Pseudomonas fluorescens. RNAcentral describes it as "bacterial SSU rRNA". It matches the Rfam family "Bacterial small subunit ribosomal RNA", at positions 340 to 1163 of the family's 1533-position model. The record is from RNAcentral. Lineage: Bacteria; Pseudomonadati; Pseudomonadota; Gammaproteobacteria; Pseudomonadales; Pseudomonadaceae.
UACGGGAGGCAGCAGUGGGGAAUAUUGGACAAUGGGCGAAAGCCUGAUCCAGCCAUGCCGCGUGUGUGAAGAAGGUCUUCGGAUUGUAAAGCACUUUAAGUUGGGAGGAAGGGCAUUAACCUAAUACGUUAGUGUUUUGACGUUACCGACAGAAUAAGCACCGGCUAACUCUGUGCCAGAGCCCGCGGUAAUACAGAGGGUGCAAGCGUUAAUCGGAAUUACUGGGCGUAAAGCGCGCGUAGGUGGUUUGUUAAGUUGGAUGUGAAAUCCCCGGGCUCAACCUGGGAACUGCAUUCCAAACUGACUGACUAGAGUAUGGUAGAGGGUGGUGGAAUUUCCUGUGUAGCGGUGAAAUGCGUAGAUAUAGGAAGGAACACCAGUGGCGAAGGCGACCACCUGGACUAAUACUGACACUGAGGUGCGAAAGCGUGGGAGCAAACAGGAUUAGAUACCCUGGUAGUCCACGCCGUAAACGAUGUCAACUAGCCGUUGGAAGCCUUGAGCUUUUAGUGGCGCAGCUAACGCAUUAAGUUGACCGCCUGGGGAGUACGGCCGCAAGGUUAAAACUCAAAUGAAUUGACGGGGGCCCGCACAAGCGGUGGAGCAUGUGGUUUAAUUCGAAGCAACGCGAAGAACCUUACCAGGCCUUGACAUCCAAUGAACUUUCUAGAGAUAGAUUGGUGCCUUCGGGAACAUUGAGACAGGUGCUGCAUGGCUGUCGUCAGCUCGUGUCGUGAGAUGUUGGGUUAAGUCCCGUAACGAGCGCAACCCUUGUCCUUAGUUACCAGCACGUAAUGGUGGGCACUCUAAGGAGACUGCCGGUGACAAAC